UUAGUGAUCAAGGGGAAAGUCUCCU
This 25-nucleotide unclassified non-coding RNA is filed under the name Mus musculus (house mouse). RNAcentral's name for it is "piRNA piR-mmu-68407680". Lineage: Eukaryota; Metazoa; Chordata; Mammalia; Rodentia; Muridae. The record is from RNAcentral.